Molecule: unclassified non-coding RNA, 378 nt
Filed under: plant metagenome
Description: partial contains 5.8S ribosomal RNA, internal transcribed spacer 2, and large subunit ribosomal RNA
Rfam family: 5.8S ribosomal RNA (bases 1-105)
Source: RNAcentral
GAAAUACGAUAAGUAAUGUGAAUUGCAGAAUUCAGUGAAUCAUCGAAUCUUUGAACGCACCUUGCGCUCCUUGGUAUUCCUUGGAGCAUGCCUGUUUGAGUAUCAUGAAAUCUUCAAAGUAAAUCUUUUGUUAACUCAAUUGGUUUCUACUUUGGUAUUGGAGGUCUUUGCAGCUUCACACCUGCUCCUCUUUGUUCAUUAGCUGGAUCUCAGUGUUAUGCUUGGUUCCACUCGGCGUGAUAAGUUAUCUAUCGCUGAGGACACUGUAAAAGGUGGCCAAGGUAAAUGCAGAUGAACCGCUUCUAAUAGUCCAUUGACUUGGACAAUACUUUUAUGAUCUGAUCUCAAAUCAGGUAGGGCUACCCGCUGAACUUAAGC